GGACAUGCAGGGAGCACAGACGAGCUGCUCAUCGGCGUCCGUCCCACAGCCCCGCUGAAGACGGCGCCCAGACCCCUUGACAGCGCACUCCUCCUACUUGCCGCCCGGGAGCAAAUAGCGACAGCGAGUAGGCGACAACUAUACUACGUCGAGAAGCGAUACAGGGGCAUGAAGCAAGCGAGCAGGUGCGCAGCAACCUGCUACUGCACUAAUAGUAGCCUUGACGGAGCACCGGGGCCGGCUCGACAGGGCAUGCCGCCCGCCGGUAGACGCCUGGUUGUGUGAGACGGAGAUGAACCUCGCGUCGUCGCCUCUGGAGCCUGGACAAAGCUCCGCUGGUGCUGGGGAUGAACCCUGCGUCUGUGAUGGUGAUGGCGCUGUCCAUCUACUUUCUCCACUGGCUAUAAGGGAGUAAAGAUCACAUCGUGGGUGUGUUUUUCUUCAAAGAUGUGGCCCUGUCAUUGUUGGCUGUCGAAUUUGGGAUGUAAUCCGUCCCUAUGUAAGUGUAUUAACCACUUCGCCCUCUCGCACAAUGAGCAGAACAGAGCAGCGGCUGCAAUUUACCCAUUGAUUUCUUGGGGUGAUUCAAACCUAGGAAGCCUGCUACUUGUGCAAGCAACAGGGUAACAAGUUUCAGUUUUCUUACUGAUUCACCUCAAUUUUGCAAGGUAAGAACAAUGUCAGUUUACUUUAUGUUGGUUUUCUAAUUUCUACAUAUUCCCUCAAGCAAAUCUGAUUAUCUAGGUAGUACGGAAAGCAGGCAAAUUACGUCACUAUUUGGGUGUACUCAUGCUCUGCUAUGUCAGAUUAAGGAGAAAAAAUUAUUUUAUUCACCAUCCUAUUUUUUAUCUAUAAUGAUGAUCACUGUUUCCAUCUUGUGAUCUUCUUUGCUCCAGUUGUGCGAAUACUUUGUUUGCACUUUAGUGGUACUGAAAUUUUCCUGCUACCAUGAGUCAUGGUAGUAGGCUGCUGCGGCAAAAAGCUGGUAAGCCCCCUAAGGGAAGAAAACUGAAAAAACUCUCAUCGUGCUUACCAUGUUUCAUCUUAAAAUUUUGGCUUGAAUUUUUUUUCUGUAUGACCUAUAUCUCUAUGUGGUUACUUUCUCCAGACAUGCUUUAGCUGCACCAUUGGUCAAGUGGCUUGAACACAACUCACAUGAGUCAUCGCCAAAUGGCCCUUUUCUGAAAUUCAUUCUCUUAUGCACUGAGAGAGGAGUUACUCCAUGGCAGUCUAUAUACAUACAGAUGCAAGCAAUUAAGAAACUCAUGCAGAUGAUGACUGGAGAAUUUUUCAUGAAUUUUCCAACCUAAAUUUGCUAGAGGUUGGGAAAAGAGGAGUCCAGGCUCUGAUGAACACAUGUUCUUUCGCAGGUGACUAACAGUUGGCACCUCUAUCUUUACAUUACAUCAGGCCAGCGCUACAAAGCCCAUAAACCAAUUCAACUAGACCAGGACUAUGUUUAUUAGUCCUCCAGUGUUUGUUGGAAUGAGAUGACACAUGGUAUGCCAGCUAACAAGCAACUGAAGUAAGAAGAUUUUUGUAAUUUCUUGGAAAGAAAGAGCCCUGAACCCAAGAUGGCGAAGGAUCCAAUAUGUCAGGACCAAUGAAGGAAUUGCAGAGCUUCAUAUUCAGUUUAUUUUAGGUGCUUGCCUACUUCAAGUAUCUAGAUUACAGGAAACAUGUAUCUUCAAGUGUCUACUUCAAGUAAGUUUCUUAUAGAAGUAGUCAGUUUGAUUCCUUCAAAAUAGUUGUUGCCUGAUAAUUUGUGUAUGACUAAAUAGCAGUACCUCAAAUUUUGCUUCAGCUUCUUAAAACAGAGUAAUUUUGUAAAUCCUAACAGAACUCUAUCAGUCUGAACCAAUUUCUUGUAAAUCUACAAUACAUCAUAGCCUCAUCUGAUCGAAUCAUUGGUUUCAGAUCAAUACAUCCUUGUGCAUUCCCAUAAGAUCAAUAAUAUUCAGUUUGAUUGUGUCAAAAACUUGCUGCUUGACAAUCUGUAUGACUAGAUAGCAAUACCUUAAAAUUGCUUUUGGUUUUAAACUGAACUGAACUUGGUUGGGGCUGAACUGAACUCAGUUUGGUUCUACAAAAAGAUAGGGUUAUAUUCUACAUCGUUUUUAAGGCGAUAAGGUGACCUAAGGCGAGCACCACCCGCUCUAGCGCCUAGGCGACGCCUAAGCGCCUAAGGCGGGCAUAUUUGUAAGGCGCUGCCAGGGCGCCUUAUCGCCUAAGCGUCCAAGGGAGGACGCCUUAAAAACAAUGAUUCUUUGAAUUUUUCUUGUUAACUCUAAACUGGACUCAACUCAGUUUGAUUCUGUAAAAAAGAUUGUGACAGACUUGUAUAUAUAUGCAACAGUCUUUCACCAACACUCAAAUUAGAUGGGCGUGAUAUUUAAAAGAAAUCGACAUACUGUAGUUUAUGAGAAUUUGGCAAGAAACUCGGAACCGAUGGACUUGACUUGUGAAAAAAUGUAAUCAAUGGACGACUACAGUUUAUAUCAAACACAGAAUCGAUGGACUUUCGCAAUGCAGGCUUGCCCUUACCAUUUACCAGGUGGUGACUUACCGGAGGAGCCAGUGGUGCUGCUGCGACCUUCUUCGGGCGAUGGUCAAUGAUGCAAGCUAAAAUCGGGGAUGGGAUAGCGGCUCCGGGCGACAAUCAGAGGCGAGGCAGCGCUGCAGACCGAGGACAAAGUGAUGCACUGGGGCGACGGCGCGGGGCGAGGAAGAAGCGGCGGAUGGGGCUGUGCAUGGGGGAGUUGGGGCGACCACUCGGUUCAGCGCACGGGAUCGUAUUAACUCUAUUUUCUCCUAGGUACCUGCGCUGGUAUAGUUUCACCAUGGGGUUACCAAACAAUUCUCUCUACUCCUUGAUUAAGAUGUCACAUCAAUUUUCUACUUACAUGUCAGGCUUAGCACUGGGAGCAGCCUUAUAGAAGUAAUGCAACAUAUUCUCUCUUAUGCCUACUUGAAAUACUGUUGUGGGUCUGUACUUUGCCUCUCAUAUUGCAAGAAUAACACAUUGUAUGUCUAUUCUCUUAACUGUAGUAAGGAUGAAGCAGGAAAGUGUGCUGGACCUUUUAA
Non-coding RNA from Triticum urartu, 3084 nucleotides. The record is from RefSeq and is a predicted model, not a curated record. Lineage: Eukaryota; Viridiplantae; Streptophyta; Magnoliopsida; Poales; Poaceae.